AUACUAAAAAUCCUUCAUUCCCUUGACUUUCCAGGUAUAUUAAGCCUCUGAAAUGUUGACUACUUACCUUUUAGAUUAACAGACUCCAGCAUUCCAAACUGGGAAGGAAGGUCACAGGGAAACUGUGGAGGAAGAAACUCUUUCCCUGGAUCCUCUAUCAGCUUGUGGUGGUGAGUGGAGUGAUUCCUUCCUUGGUUCUUCAGUGAGGAGAUCCUCUCUCUUGGCACGUUGGUGGGACACUCCCUUCAGCCUGAGUUCUGGAUGUUCAUUAAGAGUCUAUCUGGUGAGAUUCUUGGUGGUCUUAGACUCAUGUGCACCGAAGGUUCUUGGCAUAUUCUUGAGCAUCUCCUGGCUCUUCAGAUUUUGGCUUCCUAAUUAGGAUUCUGGAUUCUGGUAAGAUUUGCUUUUUGAUUCGCAUUUUCAAU
This 425-nucleotide long non-coding RNA is filed under the name Monodelphis domestica (gray short-tailed opossum). RNAcentral describes it as "lncRNA (ENSMODG00000031997.2)". The record is from RNAcentral. Lineage: Eukaryota; Metazoa; Chordata; Mammalia; Didelphimorphia; Didelphidae.